RNAcentral lists this transfer RNA (75 nucleotides) under Vicinamibacteria bacterium. RNAcentral describes it as "tRNA-Val". It matches the Rfam family "tRNA". Rfam says of the family: Transfer RNA (tRNA) molecules are approximately 80 nucleotides in length. Their secondary structure includes four short double-helical elements and three loops (D, anti-codon, and T loops). The record is from RNAcentral. Lineage: Bacteria; Pseudomonadati; Acidobacteriota; Vicinamibacteria. RNAcentral also lists the same sequence under 1 other name.
GGGCGGUUAGCUCAGCGGUGGAGCGUCGGCUUUACACGCCGCAGGUCGCAGGUUCGAAUCCUGCACCGCCCACCA